RNAcentral lists this ribosomal RNA (380 nucleotides) under Gymnocanthus galeatus (armorhead sculpin). RNAcentral's name for it is "partial 16S ribosomal RNA". It matches the Rfam family "Bacterial large subunit ribosomal RNA", at positions 165 to 839 of the family's 2925-position model. The record is from RNAcentral. Lineage: Eukaryota; Metazoa; Chordata; Actinopteri; Perciformes; Cottidae.
ACGCCCAACAGCUAGCCCACCUAAACAAUUUCAACAAACCCCUGUUAAUACCCCCUAAAUACCCUAGUAUUUAAAUUAAACAAACCAUUUUUCCCCCUUAGUAUAGGCGAUAGAAAAGGGACCACGGCGCAAUAGAGAAAGUACCGCAAGGGAACGCUGAAAGAGAAGUGAAAUAACCCAGUAAAGCCUGAAAAAGCAGAGAUUUAAACUCGUACCUUUUGCAUCAUGAUUUAGCGAGUGUACCUCAAGCAAAGAGCACUUUAGUUUGACGUCCCGAAACUACGUGAGCUACUCCAAGACAGCCUAUUAAUAGGGCGCACCCGUCUCUGUGGCAAAAGAGUGGGGAGAGCUUUGAGUAGAGGUGACAAACCUACCGAACC